UCCGUAGGUGAACCUGCGGAAGGAUCAUUAUCUAUUCCAUGAGGUGCGGUCGCGGCCCUCGGCGGGAGCAACAGCUACCGUCGGGCGGUAGAGGUAACACUUUCACGCGCCGCAUGUCUGAAUCCUUUUUUUACGAGCACCUUUCGUUCUCCUUCGGCGGGGCAACCUGCCGUUGGAACCUAUCAAAACCUUUUUUUGCAUCUAGCAUUACCUGUUCUGAUACAAACAAUCGUUACAACUUUCAACAAUGGAUCUCUUGGCUCUGGCAUCGAUGAAGAACGCAGCGAAAUGCGAUAAGUAGUGUGAAUUGCAGAAUUCAGUGAAUCAUCGAAUCUUUGAACGCACAUUGCGCCCCUUGGUAUUCCAUGGGGCAUGCCUGUUCGAGCGUCAUCUACACCCUCAAGCUCUGCUUGGUGUUGGGCGUCUGUCCCGCCUCUGCGCGCGGACUCGCCCCAAAUUCAUUGGCAGCGGUCCUUGCCUCCUCUCGCGCAGCACAUUGCGCUUCUCGAGGUGCGCGGCCCGCGUCCACGAAGCAACAUUACCGUCUUUGACCUCGGAUCAGGUAGGGAUACCCGCUGAACUUAAGCAUAUCAAUAAGCGGAAGA
Molecule: ribosomal RNA, 605 nt
Filed under: fungal endophyte
Lineage: Eukaryota; Fungi
Description: eukaryotic LSU rRNA
Rfam family: 5.8S ribosomal RNA (bases 237-390)
Source: RNAcentral